This 253-nucleotide ribosomal RNA is filed under the name uncultured bacterium. Its description in RNAcentral is "partial 16S ribosomal RNA". It matches the Rfam family "Bacterial small subunit ribosomal RNA", at positions 524 to 776 of the family's 1533-position model. The record is from RNAcentral.
UACGAGAGGCCCAAACGUUAUUCGGAAUUACUGGGCUUAAAGAGUUCGUAGGCGGCGCAGCAAGUGGGGUGUGAAAGCCCCCGGCUCAACUGGGGAGGGUCACGCGAUACUGAUCGACUGGAAGGCAGGAGAGGGUAGUGGAAUUCCCGGUGUAGUGGUGAAAUGCGUAGAUAUCGGGAGGAACACCAGUGGCGAAGGCGACUACCUGGCCUGUUCUUGACGCUGAGGCGCGAAAGCUAGGGGAGCAAACGGG